GAUGAACGCUGGCGGCGUGCCUAAUACAUGCAAGUCGAGCGGAAGGACGAGGAGCUUGCGUCUCUGAUGUUAGGGGAAGGGGGGAGAAAAACGCGUGGAUAACCUACCUAUCAGACUGGGAUAACUUCGGGACACGGGAGAUAAUAGGGGAUAAGAUUUUGAAGCGCAGGGGUGAAAAGUGAAAGACGGUGUUGGUGGAAGGUAUAGAGGGAUACGAGCUGCAUUAGCUGGUUGGUAAGGUAACGGCUUACCAAGGCAACGAGGCAUAGCCGAGCUGAGAGGGUGAUCGGCCACACUAGAGCUUAGACACCGUCCAGACUCCUGCGGUAGGCAGCAGUAGGGUAUCUUCCGCAAUGGGCGAGAGCCUUACGGAGCAACGCCGCGUGAGUGAUGAAGGUCUUCGGAGCGGGAUACUCUGUUAUUAGGGAAAAACAGAUUUGUACGUAACUGUGCAGAUCGUGACGGUACCUAAUCAGAAAGCCCCGGCUAACUACGUG
This 497-nucleotide ribosomal RNA is filed under the name uncultured bacterium. Its description in RNAcentral is "partial 16S ribosomal RNA". It matches the Rfam family "Bacterial small subunit ribosomal RNA", at positions 28 to 507 of the family's 1533-position model. The record is from RNAcentral.